GAACUGCGAUAAGUAAUGUGAAUUGCAGAAUUCAGUGAAUCAUCGAGUCUUUGAACGCACAUUACGCCCCCUGGCAUUCCGGGGGGCAUGCCUGUCCGAGCGUCAUUGCUGCCCUCAAGCCCGGCUUGUGUGUUGGGUCGUCGUCCCCCCCGGGGGACGGGCCCGAAAGGCAGCGGCGGCACCGUGUCCGGUCCUCGAGCGUAUGGGGCUUUGUCACCCGCUCGAUUAGGGCCGGCCGGGCGCCAGCCGGCGUCUCCAACCUUAUUUUUCUCAGGUUGACCUCGGAUCAGGUAGGGAUACCCGCUGAACUUAAGC
Molecule: unclassified non-coding RNA, 315 nt
Filed under: plant metagenome
Description: partial contains 5.8S ribosomal RNA, internal transcribed spacer 2, and large subunit ribosomal RNA
Rfam family: 5.8S ribosomal RNA (bases 1-105)
Source: RNAcentral